This 843-nucleotide long non-coding RNA is filed under the name Betta splendens (Siamese fighting fish). RNAcentral's name for it is "lncRNA (ENSBSLG00000008218.1)". Lineage: Eukaryota; Metazoa; Chordata; Actinopteri; Anabantiformes; Osphronemidae. The record is from RNAcentral.
AUUUACACAGACCUGUCACUAGAUGGGGGCCCUGAGCUUUAUACUGUGGAAAACGUACUGUAAUAGACGAAACAGUAGUUUGUGGUAAACCUUUUUGAGAAGAUGGUCUAUUACUCUAAUGAAACCGUAAAGUCCAUCAUUUUUUCAUUUCAAAAACUGUCAAAUGCUAUUGCUAAUUAAUUAAAACAUAUGUUUUAUAAAAAGGCACUAUAUACACAACUGCGUAGCCCACAGUGUUACUGUCACAAACUGUUGCCUCCGUCUGCAGCCACAGGCCCGUCAACGGUGGCGCCUGUGGGCACGUGAGCUACUCGGUCAGGUGAGCACACACGCGCACUCUUUUACUUUAAACUAGUCUUUUAAAUCCUUAAAUGUUUCUUGAAAUCAAGAAGUCUCUCACUUAUUAGCUUGUAGCUCGUACGCUGUGUAGCUAGAGUUAGCUAAGCUCAUACUGCUAUAGUUGCUAACUGACGUCACUGAGAGAAGCUAAUUAGUUAGUCCGUUAGUUUUAGCUAUUUGCUCAGCGGUUUUUGUUGUAUUGUUUCUCUCUACUAACAACAGUAGGUGAGUUCCACUGGGCUUCUCUGUCUCACACCAUCAACUAGAGCAACUAAAUUAAAGUAAGCUAAUUUCUAGCAAUAUAUACAUCAGUUAAUCAGUAACAACGUAUAUUUUACCGUCCUGAAAAUACCACUGACCCUAUUAAUCACAUGGUGGAAAUUACUGAAGCAAAGCCAAACAUGAAUAAUUUGACACAGUUGUUAAACUGUAACGUGUGUUGGCAGAGGCCAUGGAGGUAGAGAAGAUAAUAAAUGAUCAAGUUUAAAGGUUACUUAGUCCUGU